Molecule: long non-coding RNA, 1508 nt
Organism: Acipenser ruthenus (sterlet)
Lineage: Eukaryota; Metazoa; Chordata; Actinopteri; Acipenseriformes; Acipenseridae
Exons: 4
Source: RefSeq, a predicted model, not a curated record
UACGAGCGGAGGCUGCGCUUGUUGAGCCUGGAUGAUAUGGAGCGGCUGGCAACCUGCAUGCUUCACCCUGAGGCUGUGGAGUGCAUGGAGCUGUCCUUCCUGGACUGAGGAAUACUGCUCUGCCCUCUCCACCUCUCCCCUCUCUUCUCCCCUCUCCCCUCUCUCCUCUCCUCUGUACUCUCUCCUCCCACUGUCCUCUUCUCUCCUUACUUUGUUUAAAAGAAUAGAAGCACACCCAGUGAGCAAGGCAUUGAGCAGCCCCACAUCCCGCUUCACAAUACCGCUACAUAUUGACUGACUGUUCGCAUUGUGUGUGUUUGGUAAGACAAACCACAUUUUCUACUUCUACUUUCUACGAUUGGGCAAGUCAGCGGUUGUUUGAUAACAGAACAUAAAACAUCACAGAGUGGGUUGAACUGCAUUGCUGCAAACCAAGGCCCUUUAAAAUGUGUACCUUCCCAGCUCAGGUAUUGCUGAGGUAAAGAGACACUUCCUACAGGAGGACAGGACGUUGUCAAGGAGGGGAUGUCGUCACGUGUCCUGAGGGCUUUCUUAAAAGCGUCUGUGAGGAUGAGAAGGUCUCCACAGUCUGGAGUCUGGUCUCUGACAGGCUCAACAUACCUGUCAAUCAACAGGGACUCCUCUACAAAGGCAAGGCGCUGGCAGAUGAGCACAGACUGUCACAUGACUCCAUCGCUCCCGAUUCCAAGCUGAACUCGUUGUGACGCCCCCAACAGAGAAAGUGUCACCCGAGCAAGAACAGCACUCCGUGUCACCCCUCCUCUCAGACCUCACCCCUCACCCUCGCCUCACCCCUCCUGUCACACCUCACCCCUCGCCACACCCCUCCUCUCACACCUCACCCCUCCUCUCACCCCUCGCCUCAACCCUCCUGUCACCCCUCGCCCCUCCUCUCACCCCUCGCCUAACCCCUCCUCUCAUGCCUCGCCUCACCCCGGGUCAGUGUGGCACAGCCUGCCUGCUCUUCUGAACAAACACUUCAGCCCUGCCGACGCAGUGAGAGUCUGGAGCAGCAACACAAGGAUUACGAGCGGAGGCUGCGCUUAUUGAGCCUGGAUGAUAUGGAGCGGCUGGCGACCUGCAUGCUUCACCCUGAGGCAAUGGGGAGUGCAUGGAGCUGUCCUUCCUGGACUGAGCAAUACUGCUGCUGCCCUCUCCACCUCUCCCCUCUCUCCUCCCCCUCUCCUUACUUUGUUUAAAAGAAUAGAAGCACACCCAGUGAGCAAGGUAUUGAGCAGCCCCACAUCCCGCUUCACAAUACCGCUACAUAUUGACUGACUGUUCGCAUUGUGUGUGUUUGGUAAGACAAACCACAUUUUCUCCUUUCUGCUAUUUUAAAAGGAGCCCAGUUUGGUGCAGGAGGCUUGUGGGUAACAGAGUGUGUUUUUGCUGGGGACUGCAGCCCUUCCAUUACCAUUGCUCGUAGAGGGGAGAUUGUUUUACUUUCAAGCCUUUUUCUUUAAUAAAUCCGGACGUUUGGAAAUACA